This 492-nucleotide ribosomal RNA is filed under the name uncultured bacterium. RNAcentral describes it as "partial 16S ribosomal RNA". It matches the Rfam family "Bacterial small subunit ribosomal RNA", at positions 29 to 507 of the family's 1533-position model. The record is from RNAcentral.
AGUGAACGCUGGCGGUAGGCCUAACACAUGCAAGUCGAACGGCAGCACAGUAAGAGCUUGCUCUUACGGGUGGCGAGUGGCGGACGGGUGAGGAAUACAUCGGAAUCUACUUUUUCGUGGGGGAUAACGUAGGGAAACUUACGCUAAUACCGCAUACGACCUACGGGUGAAAGCAGGGGAUCUUCGGACCUUGCGCGAUUGAAUGAGCCGAUGUCGGAUUAGCUAGUUGGCGGGGUAAAGGCCCACCAAGGCGACGAUCCGUAGCUGGUCUGAGAGGAUGAACAGCCACACUGGAGCUGAGACACGGUCCAGACUCCUACGGGAGGCAGCAGUGGGGAAUAUUGGACAAUGGGCGCAAGCCUGAUCCAGCCAUACCGCGUGGGUGAAGAAGGCCUUCGGGUUGUAAAGCCCUUUUGUUGGGAAAGAAAAGCAGCAGGUUAAUACCCCGCUGUUCUGACGGUACCCAAAGAAUAAGCACCGGCUAACUUCGUG